UCAGACUGGUCAUGGGUAGACCUAUCUGGGGUUUGAUCGAUGCCACUCCUGGUUUCAGGAGCACCCUUCAUAAUAAACCUAGAAAUUCAGUAUUAUAAAGUUUAAUAAAAAACAACUUUUAACAAUGGAUCUCUUGGUUCUCGCAUCGAUGAAGAACGUAGCAAAGUGCGAUAACUAGUGUGAAUUGCAUAUUCAGUGAAUCAUCGAGUCUUUGAACGCAGCUUGCACUCUAUGGUUUUUCUAUAGAGUACGCCUGCUUCAGUAUCAUCACAAACCCACACAUAACAUUUGUUUAUGUGGUAAUGGGUCGCAUCGCUGUUUUAUUACAGUGAGCACCUAAAAUGUGUGUGAUUUUCUGUCUGGCUUGCUAGGCAGGAAUAUUACGCUGGUCUCAGGAUCUUUUUCUUUGGUUCGCC
This 416-nucleotide ribosomal RNA is filed under the name Rhizopus arrhizus. RNAcentral's name for it is "eukaryotic LSU rRNA". The stretch from base 114 to 267 matches the Rfam family "5.8S ribosomal RNA". The record is from RNAcentral. Lineage: Eukaryota; Fungi; Mucoromycota; Mucoromycetes; Mucorales; Rhizopodaceae.